Molecule: ribosomal RNA, 305 nt
Filed under: uncultured bacterium
Lineage: Bacteria
Description: bacterial SSU rRNA
Rfam family: Bacterial small subunit ribosomal RNA
Source: RNAcentral
UGUUACCUACGGGAGGCAGCAGUGAGGAAUAUUGGUCAAUGGACGGAAGUCUGAACCAGCCAUGCCGCGUGCAGGAAGACGGCUCUAUGAGUUGUAAACUGCUUUUGUACAAGGGUAAACCUGAAUACGUGUAUUCAGCUGAAAGUACUGUACGAAUAAGGAUCGGCUAACUCCGUGCCAGCAGCCGCGGUAAUACGGAGGAUCCACGCGUUAUCCGGAUUUAUUGGGUUUAAAGGGUGCGUAGGCGGAUUGAUAAGUUAGAGGUGAAAUGUCCGAGCUCAACUCGGGAACAGCCUCUUAUACUG